Molecule: ribosomal RNA, 255 nt
Filed under: Leptopelis gramineus (Ethiopian burrowing tree frog)
Lineage: Eukaryota; Metazoa; Chordata; Amphibia; Anura; Arthroleptidae
Description: partial large subunit ribosomal RNA
Rfam family: Bacterial large subunit ribosomal RNA
Source: RNAcentral
GAGCACCCCUGAUAGUUAGUUUUAGGUUGGGGUGACCGCGGAUUAAAACAAAACCUCCACAAUGAAUGUAAUAAAAUUCUUAUAAAAGAACCACAAUUCUAAUAAUCAAAAAUUUGACAUAAAUUGACCCAAACACUUGAUCAAUGAACCAAGUUACCCUGGGGAUAACAGCGCAAUCCAUUUUAAGAGCCCAUAUCGACAAAUGGGUUUACGACCUCGAUGUUGGAUCAGGGUAUCCUGGUGGUGCAGCCGCUA